GCCUUCGUGGUGUAGCGGUCAGCACGCUCGACGAGUAACCGAGAGGUCCGUGGUUCAAUUCCCGGCGAAGGCG
RNAcentral lists this transfer RNA (73 nucleotides) under Stegodyphus mimosarum. It matches the Rfam family "tRNA". From Rfam's summary of the family: Transfer RNA (tRNA) molecules are approximately 80 nucleotides in length. Their secondary structure includes four short double-helical elements and three loops (D, anti-codon, and T loops). Lineage: Eukaryota; Metazoa; Arthropoda; Arachnida; Araneae; Eresidae. The record is from Rfam by way of RNAcentral.